UACGCCGCGUGAGGGAUGAAGGCCUUCGGGUUGUAAACCUCUUUCAGCAGGGAAUAAGCGAAGUGAAGGUACCUGCAGAAGAAGCACCGGCUAACUAUGUGCCAGCAGCCGCGGUAAUACAUAGGGUGCAAGCGUUGUCCGGAAUUAUUGGGCGUAAAGAGCUCGUAGGUGGUCGAUCACGUCGGAUGUGAAAAUCUGAGGCUUAACCUCAGACCUGCAUUCGAUACGGGUUGACUAGAGUGUGGUAGGGGAGACUGGAAUUCCUGGUGUAGCGGUGGAAUGCGCAGAUAUCAGGAGGAACACCGACGGCGAAGGCAGGUCUCUGGGCCAUUACUGACACUGAGGAGCGAAAGUGUGGGGAGCGAACAGGAUUAGAUACCCUGGUAGUCCACACCGUAAACGGUGGGCGCUAGUUGUGGGAACCUUCCACGGUUUCUGCGACGCAGCUAACGCAUUAAGCGCCCCGCCUGGGGAGUACGGUCGCAAGACUAAAACUCAAAGAAAUUGACGGGGCCCCGCACAAGCAGCGGAGCAUGCGGCUUAAUUCGACGCAAC
Molecule: ribosomal RNA, 555 nt
Filed under: uncultured bacterium
Lineage: Bacteria
Description: bacterial SSU rRNA
Rfam family: Bacterial small subunit ribosomal RNA
Source: RNAcentral